CAGGCUUAACACAUGCAAGUCGAGGGGCAGCAUGGUCUUAGCUUGCUAAGGCCGAUGGCGACCGGCGCACGGGUGAGUAACACGUAUCCAACCUGCCGUCUACUCUUGGACAGCCUUCUGAAAGGAAGAUUAAUACAAGAUGGCAUCAUGAGUCCGCAUGUUCACAUGAUUAAAGGUAUUCCGGUAGACGAUGGGGAUGCGUUCCAUUAGAUAGUAGGCGGGGUAACGGCCCACCUAGUCUUCGAUGGAUAGGGGUUCUGAGAGGAAGGUCCCCCACAUUGGAACUGAGACACGGUCCAAACUCCUACGGGAGGCAGCAGUGAGGAAUAUUGGUCAAUGGGCGAGAGCCUGAACCAGCCAAGUAGCGUGAAGGAUGACUGCCCUAUGGGUUGUAAACUUCUUUUAUAAAGGAAUAAAGUCGGGUAUGGAUACCCGUUUGCAUGUACUUUAUGAAUAAGGAUCGGCUAACUCCGUGCCAGCAGCCGCGGUAAUACGGAGGAUCCGAGCGUUAUCCGGAUUUAUUGGGUUUAAAGGGAGCGUAGAUGGAUGUUUAAGUCAGUUGUGAAAGUUUGCGGCUCAACCGUAAAAUUGCAGUUGAUACUGGAUAUCUUGAGUGCAGUUGAGGCAGGCGGAAUUCGUGGUGUAGCGGUGAAAUGCUUAGAUAUCACGAAGAACUCCGAUUGCGAAGGCAGCCUGCUAAGCUGCAACUGACAUUGAGGCUCGAAAGUGUGGGUAUCAAACAGGAUUAGAUACCCUGGUAGUCCACACGGUAAACGAUGAAUACUCGCUGUUUGCGAUAUACUGCAAGCGGCCAAGCGAAAGCGUUAAGUAUUCCACCUGGGGAGUACGCCGGCAACGGUGAAACUCCAAGGAAUUGACGGGGGCCCGCACAAGCGGAGGAACAUGUGGUUUAAUUCGAUGAUACGCGAGGAACCUUACCCGGGCUUAAAUUGCAGAUGAAUUACGGUGAAAGCCGUAAGCCGCAAGGCAUCUGUGAAGGUGCUGCAUGGUUGUCGUCAGCUCGUGCCGUGAGGUGUCGGCUUAAGUGCCAUAACGAGCGCAACCCUUGUUGUCAGUUACUAACAGGUUCCGCUGAGGACUCUGACAAGACUGCCAUCGUAAGAUGUGAGGAAGGUGGGGAUGACGUCAAAUCAGCACGGCCCUUACGUCCGGGGCUACACACGUGUUACAAUGGGGGGUACAGAGGGCCGCUACCACGCGAGUGGAUGCCAAUCCCCAAAACCUCUCUCAGUUCGGACUGGAGUCUGCAACCCGACUCCACGAAGCUGGAUUCGCUAGUAAUCGCGCAUCAGCCACGGCGCGGUGAAUACGUUCCCGGGCCUUGUACACACCGCCCGUCAAGCCAUGGGAGCCGGGGGUACCUGAAGUGCGUAACCGCGAGGAGCGCCCUAGGGUAAAACUGGUGACUGGGGCU
Molecule: ribosomal RNA, 1435 nt
Filed under: uncultured organism
Description: SSU rRNA
Rfam family: Bacterial small subunit ribosomal RNA
Source: RNAcentral